GAUGAACGCUAGCGACAGGCCUAACACAUGCAAGUCGAGGGGCAUCGGGACGUAGCAAUACGUUGCCGGCGACCGGCGGAUGGGUGAGUAACGCGUAUGCAACCUACCCGUAGCAGGGGGAUAGCCCGUUGAAAGACGGAUUAAUACCCCGUAACACAGGGGCUCCGCAUGGAGAUUAUUGUUAAAGGGUCAUUUCUUUUAGAGGUGGUCCGGCUGCGGAUGGGCAUGCGUUCCAUUAGGUAGUUGGUGUAGGUAACGGCUCACCAAGCCGACGAUGGAUAGGGGAACUGAGAGGUUGGUCCCCCACACUGGUACUGAGACACGGACCAGACUCCUACGGGAGGCAGCAGUGAGGAAUCUUGGUCAAUGGACGCAAGUCUGAACCAGCCAUGUCGCGUGAAGGAGGACGGCCCUAAGGGUUGUAAACUUCUUUUGCAGCGGAAUAAAGUUUGCCACGAGUUGGCGAUUUGCAAGUACGCUGCGAAUAAGGAUCGGCUAACUCCGUGCC
Molecule: ribosomal RNA, 508 nt
Filed under: uncultured bacterium
Lineage: Bacteria
Description: bacterial SSU rRNA
Rfam family: Bacterial small subunit ribosomal RNA
Source: RNAcentral